This is a long non-coding RNA of Melospiza melodia melodia, 3404 nucleotides long. RefSeq lists it as uncharacterized. The transcript is spliced from 6 exons. The record is from RefSeq and is a predicted model, not a curated record. Lineage: Eukaryota; Metazoa; Chordata; Aves; Passeriformes; Passerellidae.
CGGGAACAGGAGCGGGCAGGGGGGAGAUAAACUCGGGAUGAGGAGUCCCCGCUGCUCAUACCCCAGCACGGAGCUGCUUCUUCCCAGCCUUGUCCCAGGCGAAGCACUGGCUAGAAGAGAUGAGCUACUCAAAGCAUUCCCAAGGAGACUCAGAAACGGCAUGGGAUACAGCUAAGGAAUGGAUAGAAUGCAUAAUCAACACAAUCAGAAACAAAGAGCAGGGAAUUGCAAGGGUCCUGAAGUCCAUGUUGAAUAUGAACCUUCAGCAGCUCUCCCAAGGAAUUCAAACUCUGGCAGAAGAUGUAGAGGAAUGGCCAGCAGCCAUAAAGCAUGAGCUUAGGCUUCUCAGAGCAUACCUGGAGAUGAACAAAGAAAACGAAGAGGAGGAUAUUGCAAAGGCCCUGGAAUCCAAGUUGAAUAUGAACCUUUGGCAGCUCUCCCAAGGAAUUGAAAAUUUGGACAAAGAUUUAUGGCACCAUCUGGAGACCACAAAGCAUGUCCUUCUGCCUUGCACCGCGUAACUGAAGAAGAACCCAGGAUGCUCAAGGAAUUGUCACAACGUGUCUGCAAUGCCAGGGUAUGAUUGGUGGAAUGGGUCCUGGGUCAGCCCUCACAGCCUGGGGCCCCUGCAGUUACAGCAAUCUGAUGUGACCAUCUGCACCUCUUUUGGUCGCUUUAAAUGCAUUCAUGUAAUUAUAGACACCUUUUCUGCAUGGUUUGAGCCACUCCUAUGACAAGCAAAGGAUCUCGUUUUGUCAUUCGACAGUUGCAAGGCUGCUUUGCCAUCAUGGGCUUGCCUCAGGAAAUCAAGACAGACAAUGGGUAAGGAUAUACAGCCCAACAGACCCAAGAUUUCUUGCCUCGUUGGGGAGGGAAGCAGAGCACAGGUAUUCCAGGUAACUCCACAGGACAAGGUACUAUUGAAAGAACACAUCAGGUACUGAAAGGACUGCUUGAUAAACAAAAACUUGGGGAGGAUGGGCUGAGCCCACAGGACAGAGUGCUGAAAGCAGUUUAUGUUAUGAAUCCUCUAUGGCUGGUAGGUACUGGUAGUGACCCACCAGCAUUAACACAUUACUCAGGUUUGCAGCAGGAAGAGAUUAUGCUUGUAUCAUUACAAAGGACCCUGAUGGAUACCAGUGAAAUGAGUUCAUCCCUGGCUUGAGAAGGAACUCUGACCCCUGAUAUCACCAAUGAAACAACCAGCAUUACCUGAAAACAACUGUGAACGCUUUUGCUAUCCUUGGAUGAGAUUGGAAUUGUGGAGUGUGGAUCAGAUGGGUGGUAUGAGUUUAGAGGAAGGAGCUUCUCAAGGUGUAUAGAGUGCAGACAUCAGCACACCUAAGAAUUCAAUACCUGGGUGGUUUUAUCCCAAGAGACAGGAACAACGGUUAAAUCACCUGAAAUCUGUCAAGAAGGGCUGAAUUUGUUUGAAUCUCAGGAGCAGGCUUUUCAGUGGUAUCAUAAUGAACUCUGGAAGCUCGAGCAAAAAGAGAGAGAAUAAAAUCAAGGCUAUUGAAUGUGAAAAAGGAAUACUUAUCCCUGGGACUUGGGGACUUAGAUCUGAGCAGUGAGAACAAACAAAACAAAGUGGGAAGAGAAGAACCAGAGGAGACAGAAUAGGAGAAGAGUGCAAAGAACAAGAGGCACAGUCAGUUUGAAUUUUAUCCAUCUCAUAGAGGAAGUGGUUUUUGCCAAUGAUAAAGAUGAAGAAUAGUCUUAAAUUAGAUUUGCAGGUUUUUGGGAGUCUCCCUCUGUUACUUGUGAUAUGUGGCAACAUCCAUAGUGCAGAAGAAAUUAACCCGCCGGGAUGGCAUCGACAGAAUAUGUGGCUUCCUUGGGCCAAUGCUGCUGGGGUAGACUCCUUUCAUUUGUCCUUAGCCAUGCCAUGAGAUCCCUUCUGUACAAGUUUAUUUGGUAUUCUAAAAAGUAAUUUUACUGGUUUUACAAGAUGGGUAGAAGCUAGAGGAAAGGGAUACGAGGGAGGAAAUAGAUCAAGUGUGGAGAAUCACUGGUGUAACACAAUCAGAGGUUGUACAAAAUUGGACAUAUGCAAAAGGUUGGGAAUUAGGCCAAACAGUGAGGGCUUCCAAGCAGGUAUGAUAACACAAUCACUGAAUGAAAGCAGACUACUGCCCCAAGAACUAGACUUGCUAGGAUUGGUACCUGGGAAUUAUUGAUUGUUUUUUAACUACUUUUUAAACCUGAAAUCAACUGAUAUGAGCAAUGUCCUAGUCCCAUGUCCCAAAAAUAAAAGUGUCAUCCUUAAUCCCAAUUCUCCAUGGUAUAAGAAUGUGACCAAAUAUUGCCACAACUGGACUUAUCCUGGAAGUGCUGGUGCAAAUGUGACUGUACAAAAGCUUCCACCAGGUGUCUUUUUAAUCUGUGGGGAUAGGGCAUGGCCUGCAAUUCUGAGCAAUCCGUUUGGUGGUCCUUGUUAUUUAGGAAAGCCAACCAUGUUUGCCUCUAGCAUGUGCAAAAUGCUGAAUCAGACUGUUUGGAAAGCAGGACAUAGCAAGAAGUCUAAAAGAGCAAUCACAAGCUUAAGACCUAAUUGCGACAAUCAUGUAGAGUUUUGGGGUGCUCCAGCACAAAUAACAGCAUCAUUCCUUACUCCAGGUGUUGCCGCUGUUCCAGCUUUGGCUACGCAUUACGUCUUGGGAUGCUGGACAGUCAAACAACUGAACACAACUUCAGCUAUUUUAAAACAAAUGCUCACUCAUGCAGAUAGUAUUAGACAUGGCACACUGCAAAACAGAGUUGCUAUAGAUUUUUUUACUGUUAGCACAUGUGCACAGGUGUGAGGAUUUUGAAGGAAUGUGUUGUAUGAAUCUCUCUGGCCAGUCUGCAACCAUUCACAGGAAACUCAACUACAAGACAACGUGAAGAAAUUGACAGUGAAUGAUUUGGGAUUGGAUGAAUGGUUUGAGGGAUGGGGAAUACCUGGGUGGUUGAAAGACAAUAUAAAGGGAGCUUUGUAAUUAUUAGUAGUCAUUAUUACAUUGCUUUGUAUUAUUCCAUGCCUAAUGAAAUUGGUGACCCGCUUGGUAGAAAAUACAGUGAAAAGGGUUUGGCUGGUGCAAGAAGAAACAGGGGGAAUUGUAGCAAUGUACCUGAACAACUUAGGCCACAUUGUGCACCAGCCAUACCACUUGUAGUUAUUCUUAUCAGAGCCCUCGGGAAUUCAUCAAGGUUACUAAGACAUAAACUGUUCUAAAUGAAGAAAGAAAAGACUGAGAAACAGAAUACCAAGACCACAAGAACUUGAUAACAGAGGGCUGUGAACCACCUGCACUGUAACCAAUCACAUACCCUGCAGAGUGAGUGCAGAACCCAAGGACAACACAGAGGCAGCAAUGAAGAAGAGCGUGAUGAGCGUGUGCAGUAGGGUUAGAAUGUAUAAA